This 253-nucleotide ribosomal RNA is filed under the name uncultured bacterium. RNAcentral describes it as "partial 16S ribosomal RNA". It matches the Rfam family "Bacterial small subunit ribosomal RNA", at positions 524 to 776 of the family's 1533-position model. The record is from RNAcentral.
UACGAAGGGGACUAGCGUUGUUCGGAAUUACUGGGCGUAAAGCGCACGUAGGCGGAUUUGUAAGUCAGGGGUGAAAUCCCGGGGCUCAACCUCGGAACUGCCUUUGAUACUGCAAAUCUCGAGUCCGAUAGAGGUGGGUGGAAUUCCUAGUGUAGAGGUGAAAUUCGUAGAUAUUAGGAAGAACACCGGUGGCGAAGGCGGCCCACUGGACUGGUAUUGACGCUGAGGUGCGAAAGCGUGGGGAGCAAACAGG